GCGACAGGCGGCGGCUGCUGGGCUCCAAGGGGCCAAGGGCAUUCCUUGCUGAUUAAAAAAAAUGAAAUGGUUGUUCUCCCAUUGCACUCCUGUGGAAA
This is a long non-coding RNA of Suncus etruscus (white-toothed pygmy shrew), 98 nucleotides long. RefSeq lists it as uncharacterized. The record is from RefSeq and is a predicted model, not a curated record. Lineage: Eukaryota; Metazoa; Chordata; Mammalia; Eulipotyphla; Soricidae. The transcript is spliced from 2 exons.